CCGCAGGGACGACCCUGCAAGAGCCUUUUCCACUAUCGGGGACGACCCCU
RNAcentral lists this non-coding RNA (50 nucleotides) under Shewanella algae. RNAcentral's name for it is "Guanidine-II sequence". It matches the Rfam family "Guanidine-II riboswitch aptamer (mini-ykkC)". Rfam says of the family: Simpler in structure and has fewer highly conserved nucleotide positions than the ykkC-yxkD leader. Despite this each of its two stem-loop structures directly bind free guanidine. Lineage: Bacteria; Pseudomonadati; Pseudomonadota; Gammaproteobacteria; Alteromonadales; Shewanellaceae. The record is from RNAcentral.